Molecule: ribosomal RNA, 226 nt
Filed under: uncultured bacterium
Lineage: Bacteria
Description: partial 16S ribosomal RNA
Rfam family: Bacterial small subunit ribosomal RNA
Source: RNAcentral
GAUCUGGCUCAGGAUGAACGCUAGCUACAGGCUUAACACAUGCAAGUCGAGGGGCAGCAUGGUCUUAGCUUGCUAAGGCCGAUGGCGACCGGCGCACGGGUGAGUAACACGUAUCCAACCUGCCGUCUACUCGUUGGACAGCCUUCUGAAAGGAAGAUUAAUACAAGAUGGCAUCAGUGAGUUCACAUGUUCACAUGAUUAAACGGUAUUCCGGUAGACGAUGGGG